Molecule: long non-coding RNA, 1148 nt
Organism: Gastrolobium bilobum
Lineage: Eukaryota; Viridiplantae; Streptophyta; Magnoliopsida; Fabales; Fabaceae
Exons: 2
Source: RefSeq, a predicted model, not a curated record
AAAAGUGAACCCAUCUAACUUUAAGGCUUUGGCCCAAGGGUCUUAAAAGAAAGGCUUGAGUGAACCCAAAAUUUAUAACCCAACCAUUAAAUUAUCAUGAGUGAAAUCUGAAUGCAAAAUUCCUAUUGGUCCAAAUUUAUAUGCAUGCUUUUCCAUUGGUUGAUAAGCACACAUCCACUCUCACUAUCCUAUCCAUUUUGUCUCCCUCUCUUGGUACGCUCAGCACAAUGGAAAAGGCUUGCACUUGGACUCUUGCAACAAAUGAGUUAAAAUAAGAAAUCUGUGAGAACCCUUUGUAUUGGCUUAGAACAAAAUCCUCAUCAUCAGUAAACUCUUGAACAUUGAAUGAUGGAAGAAACCCCAACCCAGAAUAAGGGACGCUCCUCCUUCAACGCAGAACCAAAACCAACCUCCAUCCUUCAACCUCUUUUCCUCUGAAAGCCGUGGAAUUAAAAGAAGCACCACAACACAAAUCUGCAUUUCCUUCUGCCCUCUCAUAUUACUUACAAAAAAAUCUAAGGCAGCAUCAUCACCUCUCCAUGCAAUAGUUGUGGAACCCUAAGCUUUAUGCUUGCUACCCUCAUGCCAUGACCAAGCUCAACCUCUUUUCCCCUCAAAACCGUGAGGCACUUGGAGGAGAACACAUAGUAUGAUUCUGCAAUUUCCUCCGUUCAUCUCCUCCCUCUAACCAUGUGUGCAUAGAAGGGUAACCAAAGUUCCUAAGCACACUCAUCUCCUUCUUCCCUUGUUCGGCCGAGGAGCAGCUUUGAGGAGGUGAGACAGAAUUCUCGUGGCCUUCUUGUUCCUCUUUGUUUAGACUGAUUUCUGAUUUAAGCUUCCCUUUUCUUGAACGUGGCUCUGCCUUGUUUGAGGCUCUCCAUCCACUGCAUGCUGCGGGAUGCGACUUCUUGGGGGCAUGGGAGAGUGUGGUUCUGGUUAAGCUUGGAUGUCUGAACGGAAGAGGACGUAAAAGCUUUUGAGGACUUGGAUAUUUGCUGUUGGCUUCUACUGUUUGGGCAUGCUGCUAUUGAUGUGAUAUUUUAUGGAUGACUGUAUGAAAUUGAGAAGCUUUUAUUACUGAGAACUAUGAUUUUAUUAUUGCAUUACGAUUUUAUGACCAGCAAGUAUUUUGGAAACAGAUGUUGAAA